Molecule: long non-coding RNA, 920 nt
Organism: Phacochoerus africanus (Common warthog)
Lineage: Eukaryota; Metazoa; Chordata; Mammalia; Artiodactyla; Suidae
Exons: 3
Source: RefSeq, a predicted model, not a curated record
CCUGCAACCUCAUGGUUCCUAGUCGGAUUCGUCUCUCCAUUUCUUUUGGGCAACUGGAUUGGGCUUCUGGGGAAGGAAAGGGAUAGAUGCGGUGGGAAACUUGGUAUGGUUUUUGUAGCAAAUGACAGUUGAUAGCUGUGUGAUCUUGGUUCAAAUGCUAACCCUCUCUGAGCUUUGGUUCCCAUCUUUAUACAGUGGGGAAAUCCAGGCAGCUCUGAGGGCUGAAUGAAGCAAUGCAGGUAAAGCACGUAGUGCUGAUAUUCAGUUCAGUGCUCCCCCAAAUGCUUGCUCUCUUCCUCGCUAAACAACCUUGGACUUGGCAGGUUCUCCCCAGAAGCAAUGGGCCAGAGAAGUGAAAAAUGCCUGCAGGUCACAGCAUGCACAACUCCACCCAGUGCCUGAGCCUUCACCCUCACCCCAGAAAAUCCAGCCCCUCUCUCCUCUUUCCCAGACACACUCUGUUCCCAGCUUCCAGCUCCAUUCCCACAGCCACCUCUCUCCAGGCAGCCCCCUCGCUAGAAAUCUCUCCUCCCCUCCUAUCUAAAUCCAAUUUAUCCUCAGGUCCAGCUCAAGACCCUUCAUCUGGGAAGCCUCCCUCUUUGUCUGCUCCGAACAGUCCUCUUUCCACGCCUCUCCGACACCAAGGAAGCAGCCCAAGGACAAGGCUGCCUGCUUCCUUUGAGAGAGUUCAAAUAGGAGAGCAGGUCCUGACUGAUGCACCUGCUGUGUGAGCCCCUCUCGGUGGGCCUGAACACUGGUCUGAUAUCCUGGUAUUGCUGGCACCCUCACCACUACCACGUCUUCACAUCCUGAGAAGACCGAGUGGGCAGUUACUACGCCAGGUGCUGUGCCCAGAGUUUACCUCACUGCCUCUUUUUAUCCUCAUUUUCACAGCCCCAAGAGUUAUUGCUGUUACUCCA